AAAUUGCCAAAAAUCAUUCAUAGCAUCAAAAGAUCGCUGGAUCAGAAGCAUGUCCACAAAUAAAGGUGCAUCAUAUGCUGCCAUCUUGGUCUAGGAAUUAACAUGACCUUAAUAUACAUAUAUUUACAAGCAUAUUACUUAGUUCACUAAUUUACAUAAUUAAACCAAACAGCUUCACUACAGAUCACUUGGUGACUCCAUAUUCUCCUUGUACGCCAUCCUAUGCUGGGCAGAAAUGCACACCUACAUGAUAACAUCAAGAAUUACAACAACCUAAUAAACCCUCUCAAAAGAUCGUACAACAUUAAAUAUGUGAAACCGUAAAUACUUCUGUGACGCCAAAUAACCUGCAUGUCUGUUGCACCAUCUAAUUCUCCUGAUC
This 382-nucleotide long non-coding RNA is filed under the name Triticum aestivum (bread wheat). RNAcentral describes it as "long non-coding RNA (TAES_LNC024529)". Lineage: Eukaryota; Viridiplantae; Streptophyta; Magnoliopsida; Poales; Poaceae. The record is from RNAcentral.